GAUGAACGCUGGCGGCGUGCCUAAUACAUGCAAGUCGAGCGAACGGACGAGAAGCUUGCUUCUCUGAUGUUAGCGGCGGACGGGUGAGUAACACUUGGAUAACCUACCUAUAAGACUGGGAUAACUUCGGGAAACCGGAGCUAAUACCGGAUAAUAUUUUGAACCGCAUGGUUCAAAAGUGAAAGACGGUCUUGCUGUCACUUAUAGAUGGAUCCGCGCUGCAUUAGCUAGUUGGUAAGGUAACGGCUUACCAAGGCAACGAUGCAUAGCCGACCUGAGAGGGUGAUCGGCCACACUGGAACUGAGACACGGUCCAGACUCCUACGGGAGGCAGCAGUAGGGAAUCUUCCGCAAUGGGCGAAAGCCUGACGGAGCAAAGCCGCGUGAGUGAUGAAGGUCUUAGGAUCGUAAAACUAUGUUAUUAGGGAAGAACAUAUGUGUAAGUAACUGUGCACAUCUUGACGGUACCUAAUCAGAAAGCCACGGCUAACUACGUG
Molecule: ribosomal RNA, 497 nt
Filed under: uncultured bacterium
Lineage: Bacteria
Description: partial 16S ribosomal RNA
Rfam family: Bacterial small subunit ribosomal RNA
Source: RNAcentral